Molecule: small RNA, 147 nt
Filed under: Paenibacillus sp.
Lineage: Bacteria; Bacillati; Bacillota; Bacilli; Caryophanales; Paenibacillaceae
Also listed under: 1 other name
Description: c-di-AMP sequence
Rfam family: c-di-AMP riboswitch aptamer (ydaO/yuaA leader)
About the family: This family represents a conserved RNA structure found upstream of the ydaO and yuaA genes in Bacillus subtilis and related genes in other bacteria. The ydaO/yuaA element is thought to act as a genetic "off" switch for the ydaO and yuaA genes in its native state.
Source: RNAcentral
AGUUGAAUAGCGCUGAAUUUUCGUUAGGAAAAGCGGGGGAACCAACACUUUGGCAUCAUGCCAAUGGGGUGAAUCGUAUUGUUUACGUAGGGCUAUCCCACAGUCCGAAUCCGACAGCUAACCUCGUAAGCUUGGGUGGUUACAUGA